UUCCAACCUUAUUUAUCUAUUCCGUGCA
This 28-nucleotide small RNA is filed under the name Bombyx mori (domestic silkworm). Its description in RNAcentral is "ovarian small RNA-37098". The record is from RNAcentral. Lineage: Eukaryota; Metazoa; Arthropoda; Insecta; Lepidoptera; Bombycidae.